UGGUGAACUCCACAUACGCAUCCUUUGCUGAGGAUACGGUUAACGGAGCGAAAGCGACGUUCAACCUCAAAAGAAGCAGAGGGGGCUUAGUGGUGGGGUGACUGCGUACCUUUUGUAUAAUGGGUCAGCGACUUAUAUUCUGUAGCAAGGUUAACCGAAUAGGGGAGCCGGAGGGAAACCGAGUCUUAACCGGGCGUUAAGUUGCAGGGUAUAGACCCGAAACCCGGUGAUCUAGCCAUGGGCAGGUUGAAGGUUGGGUAACACUAACUGGAGGACCGAACCGACUAAUGUUGAAAAAUUAGCGGAUGACCUGUGGCUGGGGGUGAAAGGCCAAUCAAACCGGGAGAUAGCUGGUUCUCCCCGAAAGCUAUUUAGGUAGCGCCUCGUGAAUUCAUCUCCGGGGGUAGAGCACUGUUUCGGCUAGGGGGCCAUCCCGGCUUACCAACCCGAUGCAAACUGCGAAUACCGGAGAAUGUUAUCACGGGAGACACACGGCGGGUGCUAACGUCCGUCGUGAAGAGGGAAACAACCCAGACCGCCAGCUAAGGUCCCAAAGUCAUGGUUAAGUGGGAAACGAUGUGGGAAGGCCCAGACAGCCAGGAUGUUGGCUUAGAAGCAGCCAUCAUUUAAAGAAAGCGUAAUAGCUCACUGGUCGAGUCGGCCUGCGCGGAAGAUGUAACGGGGCUAAACCAUG
RNAcentral lists this ribosomal RNA (694 nucleotides) under Salmonella enterica subsp. enterica serovar Schwarzengrund. RNAcentral describes it as "partial 23S ribosomal RNA". The stretch from base 74 to 694 matches the Rfam family "Bacterial large subunit ribosomal RNA", at positions 568 to 1191 of the family's 2925-position model. The record is from RNAcentral. Lineage: Bacteria; Pseudomonadati; Pseudomonadota; Gammaproteobacteria; Enterobacterales; Enterobacteriaceae.